UGCAGUCGAACGGUAACAGGAAUUAGCUUGCUAAUUUGCUGACGAGUGGCGCACGGGUGCGUAACGCGUAUACAAUCUACCUUUUACAGAGAGAUAGCCCAGAGAAAUUUGGAUUAAUACCUCAUAGUAUUAUUUGAUGGCAUCAUUAGAUAAUUAAAGUUUCGGCGGUAAAAGAUGAGUAUGCGUUCUAUUAGCUAGAUGGUGUGGUAACGGCACACCAUGGCAACGAUAGAUAGGGGCCCUGAGAGGGGGAUCCCCCACACUGGUACUGAGACACGGACCAGACUCCUACGGGAGGCAGCAGUGAGGAAUAUUGGACAAUGGAGGCAACUCUGAUCCAGCCAUGCCGCGUGCAGGAAGACUGCCCUAUGGGUUGUAAACUGCUUUUAUACAGGAAGAAACACUCCCUCGUGAGGGAGCUUGACGGUACUGUAAGAAUAAGGAUCGGCUAACUCCGUGCCAGCAGCCGCGGUAAUACGGAGGAUCCAAGCGUUAUCCGGAAUCAUUGGGUUUAAAGGGUCCGUAGGUGGAUAAUUAAGUCAGAGGUGAAAUCCUGCAGCUCAACUGUAGAAUUGCCUUUGAUACUGGUUAUCUUGAGUUAUUAUGAAGUA
This 611-nucleotide ribosomal RNA is filed under the name uncultured bacterium. Its description in RNAcentral is "bacterial SSU rRNA". It matches the Rfam family "Bacterial small subunit ribosomal RNA", at positions 56 to 659 of the family's 1533-position model. The record is from RNAcentral.